GAUGAACGCUAGCGGGAGGCCUAACACAUGCAAGCCGAGCGGUAUAGAAUCUUCGGAUUUUAGAGAGCGGCGUACGGGUGCGGAACACGUGUGCAACCUACCUUUAUCUGGAGGAUAGCCUUUCGAAAGGAAGAUUAAUACUCCAUAAUAUAUUGAUUGGCAUCAAUUAAUAUUGAAAGCUCCGGCGGAUAGAGAUGGGCACGCGCAAGAUUAGUUAGUUGGUGAGGUAACGGCUCACCAAGACGAUGAUCUUUAGGGGCCUGAGAGGGUGAUCCCCCACACUGGUACUGAGACACGGACCAGACUCCUACGGGAGGCAGCAGUGAGGAAUAUUGGACAAUGGGUGCAAGCCUGAUCCAGCCAUCCCGCGUGAAGGACGACUGCCCUAUGGGUUGUAAACUUCUUUUGUAUAGGGAUAAACCUCUCCUCGUGAGGAGAGCUGAAGGUACUAUACGAAUAAGCACCGGCUAACUCCGUG
RNAcentral lists this ribosomal RNA (478 nucleotides) under uncultured bacterium. Its description in RNAcentral is "bacterial SSU rRNA". It matches the Rfam family "Bacterial small subunit ribosomal RNA", at positions 28 to 507 of the family's 1533-position model. The record is from RNAcentral.